UUAGAGUUUGAUCCUGGCUCAGGAUGAACGCUAGCGAUAGGCCUAACACAUGCAAGUCGAGGGGCAGCACAUGAGUAGCAAUACGAUGGUGGCGACCGGCGCACGGGUGAGUAACACGUAUGCAACCUACCUUUAACAGGGGAAUAACCCGUUGAAAAACGGACUAAUACUCCAUGACACAGGGGUCCCGCAUGGGAAUAUUUGUUAAAGAUUUAUCGGUUGAAGAUGGGCAUGCGUUCCAUUAGCUUGUUGGUGAGGUAACGGCUCACCAAGGCUACGAUGGAUAGGGGAACUGAGAGGUUUAUCCCCCACACUGGAACUGAGACACGGUCCAGACUCCUACGGGAGGCAGCAGUGAGGAAUAUUGGUCAAUGGAGGCAACUCUGAACCAGCCAAGUCGCGUGAAGGAUGAAGGUCUUAUGGAUUGUAAACUUCUUUUGCAAGGGAAUAAAGUGGGGGACGUGUCCUCCUUUGCAUGUACCUUGCGAAUAAGGAUCGGCUAACUACGUGCCAGCAGCCGCGGUAAUACGUAGGGGGCGAGCGUUGUCCGGAAUUAUUGGGCGUAAAGGGUUCGUAGGCGGUAAUACAUGUCAGAUGUGAAAUCUUGUGGCUUAACCACAUCAAGCAUCUGAAACUGUAUAACUUGAGUGGAGGAGAGGUAAGUGGAAUUCCUAGUGUAGCGGUGAAAUGCGUAGAUAUUAGGAAGAAUACCAGUAGCGAAGGCGACUUACUGGCCUCUAACUGAUGCUGAUGAACGAAAGCGUGGGUAGCAAACAGGAUUAGAUACCCUGGUAGUCCACGC
This 802-nucleotide ribosomal RNA is filed under the name uncultured bacterium. Its description in RNAcentral is "bacterial SSU rRNA". It matches the Rfam family "Bacterial small subunit ribosomal RNA", at positions 1 to 800 of the family's 1533-position model. The record is from RNAcentral.